This 1380-nucleotide long non-coding RNA is filed under the name Cottoperca gobio. RNAcentral's name for it is "lncRNA (ENSCGOG00000007906.1)". The record is from RNAcentral. Lineage: Eukaryota; Metazoa; Chordata; Actinopteri; Perciformes; Bovichtidae.
GAGCUGCAAGGGGGCUCAACACUCAAGUGUGUGAGAGAUGAAGAGUCUGCAUGAGGACAUGGCUGCAACACUGCUGGCUGUAAUGCUUAUGAUCCCCUACAUCUGCGACGGAGCGCUGCUGAGAAAAUCAACAGCGAUGGACUUCCUUCAAAAAACAAGAGUGAAGCGUGAAUCUGAGUGUUUUCCUGGAGGCUGCAGCACAGAGGCCAGCGAGAGUGAACUGAUGGAAACAGAAGAUGUAGGAUAUGAGGAGAAUUCCAGCCUGCUGUAUAAUGGAGGUGCCGCUCAGGAAGGAAUAAACUAUCAGAGCCCUGGAGGGGGAGCUGUGGCGGAUGAAGGAUCUGGGAUGUAGCCAAGAGGAAGAGCGCAACACGGCUGUGUUGUUGUUGGGUCGAGGGAAGUUCAGCUUUCCCAAAAGCAUCCUGAUACAAAGGGCAACUUUGAUUGUAUAUCAGUCAGAAACAUCAUAACUAGCUAUACACUAUAAAUAUAAAAUAUAAAGUUUAAUCACUUACUCAAACCUUUGAACAAAAGGUUUAUAAAAUGAACAUGAUUUGUUUCAAGGAUUAAUUUGCAUGCUUAAUUUACUUUUGUUUAAGUUAAAAUAAUGGUGAUAAGAACAUUUUUUAUUUGUUACCUCCAGUUGUUACUGUUUUAGUACGAUACUGUUACUUGUUACAGCUCAGUAUGUGUCUUGAGUGAGCUGAGUUGGAAAUACAAAAAAGUAGGUAUCCAGUAUGUUAGAAAUUUGAAUUGAGAAUAUUGUGUAAACACUGUUUCAAUAAACAUACAAUAUCAUAGUUUGGUAGAGUAUUAUAACUAACAUUUAAAUGUAUUUGACCAACCAUGAAGCUUAUGUGCAUGUUAAGUGCAAAUGUACCUUUCUCAGCAGGAAGCUUUAUAUGAACAUUUUAAUAAAUUAAAUGUAUAUUAUAUGCAUGUUUGCUUUUAUUAUUAUUAUUUUUAUUAAAGGUUGUAACAUGAAGGGCCUUAAUAACUUGCUAAUGUUGUCACAGGGUGUACACAAUUAAUCAAUUAGCUCUUGGGAGUUUAGGAUUUUUUCGACAAACUUGUGUGUAGUCCUCUCUUCUGCAAUUUGGACCUGUUGGUCUUCUAUGCUUUCUUAUAGUUUGUUGUGUUGGUAUUCUUUUUUAUUUUACUGGUUAAAACAAUCCAGGGGAUUAGAAUUUACCUCCUGAUUAAUCCCCUUAACUAUUCACACUCUGCCAGGAAAAAUGGCACAGCUCGUGUGCUGACCUGUAGCCUGUAGCAUUUAAUUAACAUUUGUGAACUCUGGAUUUUCUCGGAAACAAUAAAUAUCAUUGUCUCUGUGUAGUUUCUAUUUAUAAAGCAGAGGAAUGCACACACUCAAGAAAAGAU